RNAcentral lists this transfer RNA (69 nucleotides) under Allogalathea elegans. Its description in RNAcentral is "tRNA-Trp". It matches the Rfam family "tRNA". Rfam says of the family: Transfer RNA (tRNA) molecules are approximately 80 nucleotides in length. The record is from RNAcentral. Lineage: Eukaryota; Metazoa; Arthropoda; Malacostraca; Decapoda; Galatheidae.
AAGAUUUUAAGUUAUAUAAACUCAUAGCCUUCAAAGCUGUAAAAAAAAGUUUUAAUCUUUUAAAUCUUA